CUGUGAUUCAGCAGCAUGCCGAUAUUAUACAUUAUGGUCUUAAAAUGGCUUGACAUUUCCUUCAGCAGUCUUUGGAGGAAUCGAUACCUCGAUGUCUGCAGUGAGAGGGCUGGUCGAGGAAGAGAAAGUGUAUUUGCCAGUGUCCCUAAAAUAUUACGCACAACAAUUUCAACAAGGAGGGGGACCCUGACAUGUGACCUGCUGUGUCGCUUUCUGGUAAUAUCAAGGGGAAAGACAAGCCCAGGCCACAGAGGCAUCGUAAGACAGGAAAUGCCGCUUUGUUCUGCAGAGGGGAAUCCAAGGCAAUCCCGGAGUGCUGGUGUCUAGCAGCUUUUCCAUCCUACCUGGUCUCUGAUGAACCACACCUGCACUAAUCAUAAGAUGCUUCUUUUCCACAGGAGACAGAUAUCUUGGAAGUUUUCUUGGAAUCCAUCACUUUGUAACUGUAUACGAAACAGCAAACAAAAUAUGCCAUCUGACUUUUAAAUUAAUUUCAAUAAAAAAUUUAGCACAAUAGGUAAAUGGCAAGUUUUUUUUUAAGUAAGUGGUUUUGGUAAUUAAAAACUGAAAGCAUGAGAUAAAAUUUGCGAUAAGGCAAUGAAAAGUUUGUCAAGGAGGAUGAGCAAUGAAGGUUCUGCUAAAGCUAUAGGCCUGUGGGAACGCUCUGUGUUACCUCUGAAAACAUCCAUUCAGCAGAACAACAGGGACACUCAACAAAUCCAUUCCAGGAGUGAAUUCUUGGGAAGUACUCUGUCUGAGUUCUGGCCAGGACCCACUUGAGGCUGGAAGCGAUCCUCACAGGAGGAGAUUCACUGGACUGCAAAUCUGAACCCUGCACUGCCCUCAGAAGGAAUGCCAACCACGAACAAUGAUGUCAUAGUGUCCCCCUCCUCUACCGUCCUGGCAGAGGUGGGCUUCCAAUGCUGGCUUCGUUACCACCUGGUGACAUCAGAAUUACUACAGUUCCUAGCAGUCCUGCUUAGAGCUUACAGUCUAUGUUUCUCUAUGGUGCUCUGAUGUUAUGGGGCCAGACGGAGGGUUAUUAUACUCCUCCAUGCUGCUGCUGAAAUUUCUUGUCUGGUUGGAGCUGAACCCAUUGCGAUCCAGCUGACCCAUCCUGACCUUUCUGGAAGGAAUAUUGUCUUGUUAUCCAACUGAAAUGAGGCAGUGGGGCAGGCCUCUGAAAAAGUUGUCUUUGAGCAAAUGAGGGCAUAUUUGGAAAGAGCAUGCUGUAGUUUAUUGAAAAGUGAAAUGAAAAUGUAUGUUUUAUUUUUCCUUCCAUCCUACAAACAUAUACAGAGAGAGGGAGAGUCUUCUUCACAUACCGAAUGAAAGUGUCUUGGUGGCUCUUGGUCUGCUGGGGUGAAGAGUGAUGCAGUAGAGGUGCCAGAACAGGCCCCAUAAAUUAAUUCAGUUAAUUAACACCGCAAAUACUUCGUACAUGCCCUCUCUGCCAGGUAUUGUUCUCCAUUCACCCAUUCAUCCAUUUAGCAGCCGUUCGCAUUCUGUGAGGUUAUUGUAAUGGAGCUUUUUCACUGUUGUGGUAGUGAUGGGGUUUGGCUGAAGCAGGAGACAUGCUGGGGGCAGCCAUGGUGGGAUUAGCCCUAAUGGGAUCAGCAGCUCAGGGUCAUGUAACAGGGAACAGGGGCGGGGCACUGCAGCCGUGGUGGGAUCAGCACUGGCGGGAUCAGCACGUCAGGGUCAUGUGACAGGGAACAGGGGCAGGGCACUGCAGCCGUGGUGGGAUCAGCUCUGGCGGGAUCAGCGCAUCAGGGUCAUGCGACAGAGGCGGGGCACUCCACCUCUGGUGGGAUCAGCACUAGUGGGAUCAGCCCGUCAGGGUCAUGCGACAAGGUACAGGACGGGCACUCCAGCUGUGGUGAGAUUAGCCCUAAUGGGAUCAGCAGUUGAGGUUAUUGUGACAGGGAACAGGUGUGGCGCACUGCAGCUGUGGUGGGAUCAGCACUAGUGGGAUCAGCACGUCAGGGUCAUGUGACAGGGAACAGGGGUGGGGCAUUGCAGAUGGGGCCAUAUCAGUACAGUGAUCAGCAAAAGGCUGCAGCCCCUGUGCUAUUCAGACCAGUGAGGUGUAUAAACAUACAGAGCAGACCCUCCCUCUGCAGCCAGCCACCCCUUUGUUUUUUAAUCACACUUUUCCUCAGGUUCAUGCUUGUUGUUUUAAUCCAACCUUAUAUCUUUUUUCCAAGAAAGAAGUGAAAAAAAAUCAAUGUCUGUUAAUGAUGUUAAUGAUAAUGGCUGUUUAAACCCUGUAAAGCAGAAAAUCAGAAGGAAGGUAUCUAGAGGCAAACUAUUUGUUUUUACAGGCUCCUGUCCCUCUCUUGUGACCUCUCCUCCUCCCUUUUUGGGCAGCUGCUGGAAGGUGCUAGGAAAAGCUGGGCAGGCACAUCUGUGACCCGGGCUGGCGGCUCCAGAGCCCCCCCUCCCAGCAGGGCAGCAGUCUGCUUGCUUCCCCCCCAAAACCUAGCAUGGCCCCAACCAUGUCCAUGCCGUUAACGUGCUAUGCACUACAUGAUAAUAUAUGUGUGAUCACAUGAAGCACACCACCCCGGGGAGUCACACGUACUAACCACAUCUUUGCUUGCCGGAGAUUUUACAAUAUGUACACUUUAAAACUGUAAAAAGCAAAAAUGGCUUCUGUCUACAUUUGUACUUUGAAUCCACCAUAUUUGCACUACCUUACGUCUUAGUUUAAUUUAGUUUAAUGUUAUUUUUGCAUACGUGUAUAUCCUUGAAAACUUGUAUCUGUCUUGCUAGUUGUUGUUAGUGCACUCACUGUGGGAUCUGAGAGUAGCGUAAUGCCAAUCCUCUCUGCGUCCUUUACAUAUGGCAGAAUUGACAAUAAAGACUUAUAAAGCUUAAGCUGACAUCGUACGACCAAGGCUCUGUAACUAUGCCUUAUGCCUCUGAAUAUUUACAAAUCUCCAGUUUCAGGACAGCCUUCGCUAAGAAGUGUCAGUUUAAUCUCUGUUCCUCUCAGCCAGCUCCAGACCUAGAAUUCAAAUUCCACACCUUGCUUUUUUGAUCUGAUCUCUGCUUGCGAAGGAUAACCACUCCGGAAUGAUUAUGGGGGUGAUGUGUGGCUGUGUGGGUUCGGACUCACGAUCACAGUCGCUGGUACAAAUCUAGUGGUCAGGAGAGUGAUGUCACUGCUGGGCCCUUAACUCUCAAUUGCUCCAAGGCCACUGGAUGCUGGCUGACCCCCCAAGCUUGCUGUCACCUACAUAUGUGCCUGUUUGGCUCAUAAAGAGCAAGACAGGAUCAGCGAAAUGAGAAACUCCUGAUGGGGAUCAAUAAAGUAUCACUAUUCUAUUUCCUCUUCAACCACUUGACAUUGCUUUAAUUCAGCUCAUUCCUAACAAUUUAACAUCUGUGUUGUUUUCUUGUUUCUUAAUCUCACCUGCACAGGAUGGUUAGUUGGUGCUACGAACACAAAAUAAACCAGCCAUGCAAUUUGCCUGUUUAUCUUACCUGCUACUGCAAGGUAUUGCCACAGGUGCAGAGUUAUUUCUUAGGGUUCCUUAUUAUGCUGCGUGUUUCUGAUGCUUCUGCCGUGCCUUAUAUUUGUGCUUCGCUUUGUUCUCUAUGUAUCUGUUCGUGUCAUGUGUGAGUCACACCCAGGAUGUCCCACAUCACAUUUGCACGUCACAAUGGAGGCUGGAAUCUGUCACAUCUCUCCAUGGAGCCCGGUUGUCAUGGACGUUUCAAUCCUCUGGCGUUUAAAAAAAAUAAUAAAUCCGUCAGCAGGGCCCAGUUGCUUGCGCUCUCCCAGAGCUGCAGAUUAAUGUUAUUCUGCUUUUUAUUAUCCUCCUGGAGAGAGAUCCUAUCUCCAAAACGGCACGUUAGCACCGGAUUGCUUUGGUGACAUCACAGGCUACCCUUGUGACAUUCUGCUUCAUGUGGCAGCUCUGCAACGCCCGCGUCCCCUCAAUCUCUCAUGCUGCAGUUUCCGGUGUCAUUUUUGGUCGUAACGGGCCUUUAUUUUGCACAAAUCCUGAUGCUUCUGUCCCGAAGCUAGAGAGAUCACAAAAUACAUUUAUUUCCUGACAAUUCCAUAUUGUCUUCAAAUCAGACGAAACUCAUUGUUUUUACCAAACACGAAAUGCUGUGUUUCACUGCAGGUAACUAAACAAAAAAAUAGAAUCACCAGUAGCGAGGCCCAGAAUCUCAGACAGCCUAACUCUGGUACCGACUUCCAUUAGUUAUGUAUGAUUAUGGAGCUAAAAAUAAACCAUAUCAGUUAAAUGAAAAAGAAGGUAUGCUGUGAUGUACUCAUCUGUCAAGGACCCAUUAAAGUUUAAUCUUAAUAGCAAAUCUAAAUGUCAAUUGUGAUGAGAUCCCUUACAUCCUUUGUGGUGAAUG
Long non-coding RNA from Brienomyrus brachyistius, 4380 nucleotides. RefSeq lists it as uncharacterized. Lineage: Eukaryota; Metazoa; Chordata; Actinopteri; Osteoglossiformes; Mormyridae. The record is from RefSeq and is a predicted model, not a curated record. The transcript is spliced from 6 exons.